AUUGAACGCUAGCGGGAUGCCUUACACAUGCAAGUCGAACGGAGUGGCGAACGGGUGAGUAAUGUAUCGGAACGUGCCCAGUAGCGGGGGAUAACUACGCGAAAGCGUAGCUAAUACCGCAUACUAUUGGAGCGGCCGAUGUCGGAUUAGCUAGUUGGUGGGGUAACGGCCCACCAAGGCGACGAUCCGUAGCUGGUCUGAGAGGACGGCCGGCCACAUUGGAACUUAGACGCGGCCCAGAGUCCUAUGCGAGGCAGCAGUGGGGAAUUUUGGACAAUGGGGGAAAACCUGAUCCAGCCAGCCCGCGUGUGCGAUGAAGGCCUUCGGGUUGUAAAGCACUUUUGGCUGGAGGGCGGUACCUGCAGAAUAAGCACCGGCUAACUACGUGCCAGCAGCCGCGGUAAUUC
RNAcentral lists this ribosomal RNA (407 nucleotides) under uncultured bacterium. RNAcentral describes it as "partial 16S ribosomal RNA". It matches the Rfam family "Bacterial small subunit ribosomal RNA", at positions 30 to 526 of the family's 1533-position model. The record is from RNAcentral.